GACGAACGCUGGCGGCGUGCCUAAUACAUGCAAGUAGAACGCUGAAGGAGGAGCUUGCCUCUCCGGAUGAGUUGCGAACGGGUGAGUAACGCGUAGGUAACCUGCCUGGUAGCGGGGGAUAACUAUUGGAAACGAUAGCUAAUACCGCAUAACAGUAGAUGUUGCAUGACAUUUGCUUAAAAGGUGCAAUUGCAUCACUACCAGAUGGACCUGCGUUGUAUUAGCUAGUUGGUGAGGUAACGGCUCACCAAGGCGACGAUACAUAGCCGACCUGAGAGGGUGAUCGGCCACACUGGGACUGAGACACGGCCCAGACUCCUACGGGAGGCAGCAGUAGGGAAUCUUCGGCAAUGGACGGAAGUCUGACCGAGCAACGCCGCGUGAGUGAAGAAGGGUUUCGGAUCGUAAAGCUCUGUUGUAAGAGAAGAACGAGUGUGAGAGUGGAAAGUUCACACUGUGACGGUAGCUUACCAGAAAGGGACGGCUAACUACGUG
Molecule: ribosomal RNA, 495 nt
Filed under: uncultured bacterium
Lineage: Bacteria
Description: partial 16S ribosomal RNA
Rfam family: Bacterial small subunit ribosomal RNA
Source: RNAcentral